CUACCAGAGGUCCUGGAACAUCCGGAAUCCCAAGGAGUGACGUCAUCCCCGUGUUGGAACUCCAACCCGUUCCCAUGCCAACGCCCAGCCUGCUUAAAGGGAUACUUCACCGGUGGAGACAUGAAUCUGUAUUGAAAGUGGGUCAUAUAUUUAGUCGAAUAGUAACAUAAAUUUCGAUUUUUUUGCCUCCUUGACAGAGAAAAGGCAGACAGUGAUUUUUUGGCGCUUGCGGAUUGAAGAAGACAACUCCCACAAUGCCAAUCAGCGUUCACUCCCUGAGGGAUGAAACAGCCAAUCAGCGUUCACUCCCUGCAGUCCAGCGUGAACCACAGCAUGGUGGAGAGGUGAUUGAUCAUUGAUGCCGUUCGCGGACUCCCGGAGAUCUAAAAAUUGAAAUUAAAAAAGGCAUGUAGGCUACCAGUCACAAAGGGAAACGAAAUAGUUGCCAAAUCGAUGACUGCUCACGCUCACACUCAUGUCAAAUCAUAUUUAUGUACACAAAUCCCAAUUUGCGUGAUUGUAUAGAAAAAAUAUCUGUCAUGUUUUGAUCGUUUAUUGAAAUGAAUGGGCGAAUGGUUCUUGCAACAAGGAAUUUUGGGACGGCGUUAUCUCCUUUCCUUUCGCUAAGGAUGACCCAGUGUACCCUAUGCUAAAGGAGAUAAGAAAGGAAGCAUUAUUUUAAGCCCCUUUCCUAGCAUUAAGAUAAUUUGAAAAGCAUUUAUCAUGGCUGACACUUAAAUACUUCCGGGUCCUUUCACUCGGUAAGGAAUCUUUAGGUCGAGAGGACCUUCAUCAUCACUGUUUGUUUUAUAUAUCUCUGAAAGGCUCUUUGAACCCUCAGAGGCAGAAAAGCCUGUCCUACGGCAGCACUGGUGUGGGGGCGUGGACCCAAGAGUCGUUAGACCGGCUUUCCUGUAACCAUAAAAGAAGCGGGUCGUGCGAUGUUCACGUCACUGUCCCGAAGACACAGCCUCGCAGCACAUAAACAAUCAUGGAUUUCAGUCUGGAGUCAGCCUGCGGCCCUGACGAGGUAAAGAAGAACGAUGCAAAUAGCACGGAGUUUUCCUUUUUCGGCAAAAAGGACAAAAAGGACAAGUCUGACUGCAAGGACAAGUCAAAGGACCACGACAAGAGCAAGGGAGACAAGAAACACAAGGAAGGUGGCAAGGAGCACAAGAAAGACAAGCAGCACAAGAAGAAGGACAAGGGGCACGGAGGAGAGAAGAAGCACAAGAAACACGGAGACGGGGAGCACAAGAAAAAGGAGCACGGAAGUGGCUCUUCUUCGUCAUCCUCUUCCUCCUCUAGUAGUGACUCGGACUAAAUACCUGAUGCAAGGAUGAGGAACAACAGUUCUCUGAGUACCUGUAACAUUUGCUACUGCUGUAUGUAUGCUGUCUGCCUGUGAACUAUACAUCUGUUGUUUCUUAACUGGCCUGGUGACAAAAUAUGUGUUCUUACUACAAUGUAAACUAAUAAAUGGUGCCUCGAGACAUGCUUGUUUCGUUUUUCUGUCCUGGAUUGAUAUGGGUUUUAACUAGGUUUUGCGUUUUAUUGGUUCAUGGUUUUGUAGGAUUACGCAAGCAAUUACAAUCACAAACAUUAUUUACUGUAUUAUAACGUUCACCGAUGGUCACGAGGUACAGCUUGAGUCAUGUUGCAUUGGCCUUUGCAUCAGUUAUAUCCCUGGAAGUAUUUAAACCUUCAAACAUUCAUUUUGUCCUGCAUCAACAUGGUCAUGUUGAAGCUGUCAACAAUGCUUGACAGAAAAAAACACACCUGACAGGAAUUCUUGGUGUGGCUCCAAGAUGUGGUGGAACCACAUCCCUGCCCCUCCCUCUUAAACAAGCAAAUCUACUUUCUCCAAGUCCUCUGUUCACGCCCUUAAUAAUCAUACUCUUCCUCAUUCUCGGCAUGAUGAAUAGAAGGUGUACAAUGGUAAAAACUUGAACUCUGACCUAUUCAUAGUCAUCCUCGAUGACUAUGACCUCCAUCCUAAGUUUUCAUAAAAAUAAAAUAAGGCUCAUUUUGGAACCAGAUACCCCAGGAACCCAUUCUCCACAUGAGGAAACAUUAGAACAGGAUUUAGCAGCAUGGACACUAGUGCACACCUACAUACCCCACCUCAUUCACUGGCCACAAUCCCAGCCCCCUCCACUCCCUCCAUCUGAUGGAUUAUGGAUCCACGGUUUCAUCAGCAACAAACCCUUGAUGUUGUGGUAAUGUGUCCCUUGCCAUUUUCCAACUGUGAAACUCAUUAUCCUCUUGGAAUAAAGAAUGAAUCAGAAUCGGUUGCAACUGAUGCCACAACCAACAUUGCACCUAUUGUGUCUAAAGUAAUACAUCUAGUUUACUAAUUUAUUACAUUGACAACACCCACACUUACACACAGGCCCACUCAACAACAGCUGUGGUCACCAAGAUGAUGACAAGGCAUACUCUCAUGUACAUAUGAACAUGACUAAUCUUAAGGUGCACGAGAUAAGAAUGCAGCAAUUUAGCGGACAGGCUUUAUAAGUGACAUUAAAUGGCUCGUGAGAAUGUGCAGCUCAGUGGAAAUACUAGAUCACCUUUAUGGACUCUUCUGCAGCUUAAAAAGACUAACAGAAACAUGAUCUAUUUUUUAAUGUUGUUACUGUUUUUCCCACUAGAUGGCAGCAUGUAACAGUCGGUUAUGUGUAACCUUCCAACCAUAAACCGCCUGAAGACGUUUCAGCAUUCACAAAUACUCAAGCAUUGAUGAUUGGCAAAUACAAGCAACAAAUAACGCGUAAGGCUAUUUAUACAUAUAUUUUCUAUU
Gadus morhua (Atlantic cod) is the source of this 2800-nucleotide long non-coding RNA. NCBI's taxonomy places the organism in Eukaryota, Metazoa, Chordata, Actinopteri, Gadiformes, Gadidae. The record is from Ensembl.